Fundulus heteroclitus (mummichog) is the source of this 2405-nucleotide long non-coding RNA. RefSeq lists it as uncharacterized. Lineage: Eukaryota; Metazoa; Chordata; Actinopteri; Cyprinodontiformes; Fundulidae. The record is from RefSeq and is a predicted model, not a curated record. The transcript is spliced from 2 exons.
GCUCUGUGGUUUUCUCCAGACUCCCCUCUGCAAACUACAGAUAUUGAGGAUUUAUUGCCUAAAAACAGCAACUCCUAAACUCCACGUUGCUCAACUGAGAGCCUCCAGGAUUGUCAAAGACUCCUGGAUCAGGUGUUGAAACGUUUUCACAGAAACUGAGUGAAAGUCUGCUAACCUUGGAUUUAAUCCUGUUGUAGUUGCCAUGACUCUGAUGAUUGAGAAUAUUACUUUAUUUUUUAUUUCAUGGGAGUGUUUCUAACAUCAGAUUUGAAUGGACUAAAGUUUAAUUCUUUGUAGGUUAUCUAAGGUUUAUAAAUUGAUAAAUUGCUGCUAAGUGGAGGCAGCAGCAUUAAACUAAACAGUAAUUAUUGAGGAGAAAUCUAAAUAAAUAACAAGUAGUAUCUCCUGUGAAUAGGUGGUACGCUGAGCCAUGAUUAAAGGUUCCAGGGCCCGGUCCAUAGUACUACAUCCCUAUUUAACCUGCUGGUUCAUUAUAGAGCUACAUGGAGCGGUUGUUACACAUGAUGGACUUCUGCUGAAAGCCAUGAAGCAGGUGCUGAACCACCAGAUCAAUGACGUCCCAAAUGAAGCUUUGGACUUCAUUGACCCAUGACCCGGCCCCAUGAAUCAAGCCCCAACAAAGUUCUUCUGAAGGACUGUGUUGCUGUUUCUGACAAAUGCUCCAGAGCUUCAGCUUCAAGCAGACCAUCACUACUGAAAGCCAGCGCUAAGCUGACCACCUCACUAUAGCUGCUGGUGUUGCUAGGAUGUGGUCCUGACGGGCCCAUGUGGGCUGAGGGAGAGGUACCGAGAGACAACACAUCCAGAGGUUUACAUCCUGAAGGUGAGGAAACCAGGGAUAGAAGAACAAAGAUGGAGACGGCAGUACAAGUAACCCCUCCAGAACCGUUGGACUUCUCCUGUCCUGCAGAACGGGCGAGGUGGGCCAGAAGAUUGGAGAGGUUUCAGACUGCAGCAGCUCUAGAUGAGAAAUGUGAGGAAGAUCAAGUUAGUUCCCUCCUGUUUGCUGUGGGAGAAGCUGCAGAUGACAUUUUAGCUGUUGGACCUUUGACUAGAGCAGAGAAAAGAUGGCUGGAGCUGGAAAAGCUGUGUUUGAGCAGCACUAUGUGGGGAAAUCCUCCAUCAUCUUUAAAAGAGCCCAGUUCAGUUCCAGACGUCACCAAGAUGGAGAGAGAGCAGAACCAUUUAUUACAGCUGGACACAAACUGGCAGGAAACUGUGGUUCUGGAGAACUGGAAGAAGAACUCAUACGGGCCAGAACUGUAGCUGGCAUAAAAGGACAUAAAGCUGUCUGAACCGGUACCAAUGGACUCUGAGUUAACGCUCACAAAGGCCAAAGAAAAAGUCCAGCAGAGGGAAACUGUGAAGAACCAUAAACAGUUCUGCUCAGCAGCACAGCAGAGGGGAGCAGAUCCAACAUGGACGCCAGAAGGACCAAGAUGAGAAAAAUGAAGAGCCAGACCCGGCAGCAGUCAGAACGGGACCAAAGCCAGAGAAGCUGGGAGGAAAAGAGUGUGGUGGAUGUGGCUGAAAGCAGAAAGCUUCAUGGAAAGACUGCCCAGCUAGAGAUGUUCAGUGUUGGAGCUGUUAGAAGGAGCUUCUAGCUGGAGUUUGUUGGUUCGGCCCAGCAGCCAAACUACAGGAGGUCCCAGAACCCCAAGAUGACCCAGACAGGCAGGAUGAUGGAUUUCUAGGAGAAAGAGGGUUGAGGAGGUCAGAACCGUGGAGAGAAAAGGUCCAGAUGAACCACCAUGACAGAUAAGGGAGUGGUGUAGGGGUUUCUGGGAAGUUGGAGUAAAAAUGUUCCUAAGCAGAGUCCGGUGGGUCCUGUCUGCUCGUUGUACAGCCAUGUUCUCCUGAUAUUGUUCAGCUCUACUUUCUAGGAGCCCUUUUCAGUGAGCCAGGAUCUAAACAAUGGGAGGACUUGUUGAAAUGACUGCAGACUCUCUGUAAAUAUCCUCACCAUGAAUCCAGCAUCAUCUAAUAUAGCCGACAAUAAAGGAGUCAGAGACACAAGCAGGAAAGUCCAGGAAAAAAUAAGCAGCAUUUUUCCUGAAGAGUCUGAAUGUGGUCCAGAUGUUCUGCAGAGUAAAAACUGGAAAAGGUCCAUUUGUUCUGGGCUCCACCUUCUGGACUGAAGCAACAUUGAGCUCUGAACUGUUGGCCUCCAGUUAAAUCUCAGCUUGGAUGGUUGGAUGAAGAAAUCUGAUGUUUGUUGGGAAUUUGUUCUGCUUUCUUUGCUGAUAACAUUGAUAUCAGACUGGUUCUGUUUGUGAUGCAGCAUCCUGUGUGACAGUAGAACAGGUAGAAGCGCUUCUGUUCUCAGUCAUGUAUUCAUGUGUUUAGAAAUGAGUGAAGUGUAAUUAUUGCAGCUGUUGAUCCUU